Long non-coding RNA from Scomber scombrus (Atlantic mackerel), 383 nucleotides. RefSeq lists it as uncharacterized. The record is from RefSeq and is a predicted model, not a curated record. NCBI's taxonomy places the organism in Eukaryota, Metazoa, Chordata, Actinopteri, Scombriformes, Scombridae. The transcript is spliced from 4 exons.
AUUCACUGUAUCUAACCUUGAUAACGUUUUGAAUCUCGUUGCUUUUACUAACAGACCGGAUUCACAGUCGUGCAGGAUUAAACAUCAGGAUAAUGAGAUGAAGACAUCCUGUCAGGAAAUUGGCAGAAGAUGUUCUACUGCAACAACUGGGAACAAGUCUGUGCUCAAGAGCCAAAGCACCAUGUGGACUCAGCAAGACUGCACACAAUCCCUGAUCUUUAGUUGAGGGAUGUGGAAACGUUUUUUGCCUCUUGGAACUGGAACCAUUUCACAUCCACAUCUUGAUGUACACUGAGGCCUGGAUUAUAACCAUCAUGUCCACAGGCCUGCAAUGAAAAACAGGGAUGGUAUUUUGCUGUGUGUUAAACCUAAUUACCUUACCA